UCUGCAAUUUCCGAACCGGUAUGGAGGAAAGAAACAGCAACCCCAAAACAGAAAAAUGCACGCCCUCGCCCCCGUGAGCCCACGCCCGUCACUCCCCACGAACCCGCCGCCUCCCUCCCUCCUACACCAGCGCAACCCUUACCUCACGCCGACAGCCGCCCUCCCUCGCGCCGGCAGCCGCCCUCCCUCGCGCGAUGGCCUCCUCCACCCCCCACGCUCAGGUCGCCUUCCUUCCUGCGCUCCGGUCUCCUUCCUCCUUGCGUGCCAGCCUCUUCCCUACCCCGCACUUCAUCUGCCUUUCUUCCCGCACUCCGGCCGUCUUCCUCCCCGCGCUCCGGCUGCCUUCCUCCCCGCGCUCCGGCCUCCUUCCUCCUCGCAAUCCGUCCGCCUCCCUGCCCGCACUCCGUCCACCUUCCUCCCCGAGAUCCGUCCGCCUUCUCCCCUGAGAUCCCACGGCCGUACCACCGCCGACCAACCCCUCCAUCUGUAAGUAAGGGCACUAGGCCGCCCUCCACACUGGGGUGGCCCUGCUAGCCAUCAGUGGGGGAAGCGGAGUGGCUGCCAUGGCGGGGGUGGAGACGUGUUCGUCCUGGGCGUGCGCGUCCUCGGGAAGUCCAUCUGCAAUUUGGGCACCUCGCCGAGACCUCAUAGUGCUCGUCCCAGACUACUCUCCGAAGCCACUCGAGUGUGGUGUCGUCAGUAUGCUGAAGAUGAAGUUUCCCCUAGCCGUCGGGCCCCGGCCCCUCCCUGCGAAGCUCCCAGUCGCCAUCUGCGCCAAGUCCGCACUCAAUCUACAGUUCAUUGUUGGCUAGCUGAAGGUCCAGGUUUGCUAAAAAAAUUCAGUGCAUCUUUAUAUAUUGUUCAGUUCAUCUACUUGCCAAUCAUAAGUCCAAUUUCAGAUAUGAAUAAAGCUCAAACCAAGUUAAAAAAUUAUUUUCUUCAUAAAUGAGUUGUUUUUGGUUAAUUUCUUUUUAUGGACAGUACAAAUGCACACUAUUGUGUGGUGCAUCUGUUUAUUGUAAUUGUGGUUUGGUGUUCAGAAGAAGACAACAAAAAAGGUUCAUAAAAGAACCCAAAAACAGUCCGUAGUUUUGGAAGCCCAAAUUUCAGUUCAACAUGUCUUCUAUCAUCAGCUCAUUAAGAACCCCAGAAACGGUUCAAUGUGUGUGUGUUCAAAAAAUAACAAAAAUGGAGGUUCAGAGAUGGCACCGAGAGAAGUUGGAAAAAACGGUUUCAACAUAAUAAAAUAACUGCAAAAUGUUUUUGUAUUUGGGUUAUAAAAUAAUCGUCUCAGUUCAACGAGUUAAAAUCGUCUUAGGUCAAUUAGUUAAAUCAUCUCAGUUCUACUAUAUUUGUUGCGACAAGAAUGGUUCAAGAUUAGUUAAUCCUUCUUCCACUUCCUCCACAAGAAAAUGAGCUCUAAAGAUUCAGUAUUUCACCUUGCAUACAACUCAGAGAACUACCUCUACAGACCUGGCUAGUAGGAGCAUCGAAAAUAGGAUGCACAAAACAUCAGGAAAAGAUUUUUGCACCAUUGUAUCAACCCCAAGCCAGUCGGGAUAGUUGAGGAGUUGUGUCGUGGUCGCCUGGUAGUGUCCUUGUCACCGUCCGUCUUCAAGCUGGCCGCGAGGGCCAGCAAGAUGUUGCAUGCGCCGACGAAGAUUCCAUAUCUGACUAGCAGCUGGUCAGAUGCCCGUGUGUGUGCCUUAAUUCUUUCUCACUACUAGCACUUGGUUUACCAUCGGUAGGUAGUUUGUCUAAAGUUAUCUGGAUUGCACUGAUGUCCUGGUAGCCUAAAAAAUGCAUACUGUUAGCACUUGUGGUUUGCUUAUGUAUAUUAUGGGAAUUCUUUGGCUGCACUGCAACGCUCUGGCCAGGUGGCAGCAAACCAAACAGAGAGGGCAAGUGAGAGACGAAGCCUCCUCUGCCUAGGACAUCGGAGAGUCGAACCCCAACAGCCAUUUUCUUGGCAGGCUAGCACUCGCUUUGGCGGCAUGGAAGAUGAGUGUGCCCUGUAUGCGGGUACCGUGACAUUGAGUAGGCGCGAAGUGUAUCACUCCAGCACGCCAAAGCUCCAGUGCAUGUCAACGUCUUCUCCACUGCAAUGGAAGCUCCUCCGUUCGAGUUGAGCACUGGUCAUCAUCCAAGUUGAACACUAGGUGCUGUCCAAGUUCAAAGAGGGUUGUAUGCUAAGUUUGUUUUAGUGAGAAAAAUGCGGGGUUUUGACAAUAUUCUGUAUGAUUCAUUUAUUCAACCUUAGAACUUGGCGAUAUUCGGUCUAUUUUUCUAUGAUGAAGGCACACAUGAAGUCAUGUGCAAUGGUA
This is a long non-coding RNA of Aegilops tauschii subsp. strangulata, 2324 nucleotides long. RefSeq lists it as uncharacterized. The record is from RefSeq and is a predicted model, not a curated record. NCBI's taxonomy places the organism in Eukaryota, Viridiplantae, Streptophyta, Magnoliopsida, Poales, Poaceae.